CGAAUGUUCGACGCAAAAUUUUCUGGUCGUGCCAUCUUUUGACUUUUUCUUUGUAUAGUUUGGCAUUCUCAUAUGCGUGAAAGCGAAAUUCAUCGAGUUCACUCAAUUGAAGUAGUCUCUUCUCACCUACAGAUGUUUGAUCAAAAUUGAGUUUUUGCACAGCCCAAUAUGCCUUAUGUUGUAGCUCGACUGGUAAGUGACAUUCCUUCCCGUACAGUAGUUGAUAUGGUGACAUCCCUAUUGGCGUCUUGUAUGAAGUCCG
Molecule: long non-coding RNA, 262 nt
Filed under: Panax ginseng (ginseng)
Lineage: Eukaryota; Viridiplantae; Streptophyta; Magnoliopsida; Apiales; Araliaceae
Description: long non-coding RNA (PGIN_LNC009647)
Source: RNAcentral